RNAcentral lists this ribosomal RNA (253 nucleotides) under uncultured bacterium. RNAcentral's name for it is "partial 16S ribosomal RNA". It matches the Rfam family "Bacterial small subunit ribosomal RNA", at positions 524 to 776 of the family's 1533-position model. The record is from RNAcentral.
UACGUAGGGGGCAAGCGUUGUCCGGAUUUAUUGGGCGUAAAGAGCGUGUAGGCGGCCAGAUAGGUCCGUUGUGAAAACUCGAGGCUCAACCUCGAGACGCCGAUGGAAACCAUUUGGCUAGAGUCCGGAAGAGGAGAGUGGAAUUCCUGGUGUAGCGGUGAAAUGCGCAGAUAUCAGGAAGAACACCCGUGGCUAAGGCGGGUCUCUGGGCCGAUACUGACGCUGAGGAGCGAAAGCGUGGGGAGCGAACAGG